RNAcentral lists this long non-coding RNA (6767 nucleotides) under Citrus maxima (pomelo). Its description in RNAcentral is "long non-coding RNA (CMAX_LNC003090)". Lineage: Eukaryota; Viridiplantae; Streptophyta; Magnoliopsida; Sapindales; Rutaceae. The record is from RNAcentral.
UUGAAUAUUAUGUUGAGCCCUGUAAAGCCAAUGAUGUGGCUGAUAAUGGGUGUGUCCACACCAAAAGGACCAGUGUCACGAUGCCAACCAGUGGUUACAUCAUCUAUGGCGUUGCCCAUCAGCACUCAGGGGGCAUUGGUGCAGCUCUAUACAGAAAGGUGAUUUCAAUAUCUAAUUUGCAUUCACGUGGCAUGCCUUUUCUUUUGUCUAUGUUCUACUUUCCAUUGUAAUUUUAUCAUUCUUAUCUGCUAGGUUGGUGGUAAACUGGUGAUAUAUGAAGACGUGUACUAGUUCUUGAUCUUUUUAAUUUUCUUGUUAGAUUAUGCUUUGAAAGUUAUUGUUUCUUUAGUCUGCAAAAGAAUUGUCAGAAUUUUUUAAGAUUAUGUAAAUGUUUACAACAUUAAUUAGAUGUUGAGGACAUGUGAGUGUGACAUUAUCAUAUUUCCAAAGUAGACUAUUUUUUAGCUUCUAGCUGCUUGAUUUGUUUGUCAUCCUCAAAGUUUGGAUAACAUUGAUAUUUUAUAUAUAGUGUUAUGGUCCCUGAAAUUGGUUGGAUGUUUUCCCUUUUUCUUUUGAAGAACAAUUCUUCAUUAUUCAUUUUAUGUAAUUUUUUCAGAACCCAGUGUGAUGAUUGUGGAAGGAAUUUGAUUCCCAAUGUCUUCUUCAUUGAUAUGCUUGUUUUUGGUGAAACCAGGAUGGACAACUUAUGUGUUCUUCAAUUCCAGCUUAUGGAAAUGGGAAGGAAGCUGGAAACGAGGCUGGAUAUAUUGUAGGAAUGUCGACUUGUUAUCCUAAACCAGGCUUCCUCAGGAUAACAGAUAAGGAAACUCUGAUUGUGGAAUCUAACUACAGUAGCUCCCACGAUCACACAGGAGUUAUGGGGCUUUUCUACAUUUUGGUUGCAGACAGGGUGCCCGAGUCCAGUUCAUUCUUAGAUGUUUUCAACAAGGUAAGAUUCCCUUUUCAUAUUUUUAGAUAGUGAGUUCAGCAAUACAAUUUAUUAUGCUUGUGAGCACAUGCGAAGAUACCGGAGAGCAAAAAACUUAUUCUAGAAUUGAGGAGGAAUAUUGUCUUACCUCUUUGAUUAUCGAAAUGGUAUAGAGAAUGGAUUAUAGACAGUCGUUUUGAUUAGUGUUGGUGAGAAGAUUAUUAUUUGCUGGAGUAGAAACUGUUUAAUAUGAUUCUUAGGCGAUAAUAGAACUAUAAUCCUCUUCUUGAUUUUAGCAAGAAACACCAAGCCUCUGAUAACUGCCUGGUUUUUGCAGAUGUACAAUGAUAUAAACCAUUCUGCUUUUGUUUGGGGAGCGUUUGUUUUAGCCGGAGUUGCUAUCAUUGCUGCUGCUGUGGGUUACUGGCGUAGGAAUAAGUACGAAGAUGGAUACCAACCAAUUAUGAUCUGAACUUGUUCUUAUGAGGCUUAGCCAUGUGUAUUAGACAGAAAUAAUGUUAGCUCUGUAUCAUAUGUUCUGAAACUCUCGUUUCCCUUUGCUAGAUGAGCGUGAAUAAACAGAUGAGCGUGAAUAAACCCGGGAGACUCACAGUCUUGCCCAAUAUUAUUUCUAUUACUGUUGUUAGUAAUUGGAACUGAGUGAUUAAUGUGAGCCUCUGUUGGACUUUAUGGCCAUUUCUUUCAUUUUCUCUACGACUCCUGUAGCUGCUUGUGUUCAACGCUAUUUUCACAUUUGUAAGGGACCUGUCCAAAAUUCAAAGCAUUAUUGGGUCGCUAUUUCCUGUGGCAGCUGCCAAGUUUGAGUAUCUUCGACUUAGAGGAACCACAUAUGUUACUUUUUUUUGAAAAAAAAAUUCAUUUCAUGUUUUUAGUCUGCAUGUGUGUUAUUUAAUAAUAAUCGUUGAAAGAACUGUUUUAAAUAUUUUACUUCAUCAUAGUUUCUCCUACAAUUAUGGAUCUCUGUUUCCUAGUUUUCCCCUUCUCAAACGAUCUAUAUACACGGUAAGCUCAAAGUAUGCAUGCUUCGUCAUAUAUUUAACACAAGUGUGCAUAUUGCAACUAAUAUUUUGGGAUGCAUCACACAAUAAUUUUACAAUAUAUCCAUCGUGCUUUGUGACAUUACCUUUGACUUUAUCAAUUGCAUUGUUACCAGAGAUAGUGCAUUAUUAACUAUGAUACUGUAAAGAAUUCAAUUUGAAAUCAAAUUAACAAUCGACAAUGAAUCAUAAUAUGGUCAAAUAAAAAAUAAAGAGAUACGUACUAGCUUUGAAAUGGGAAAAUAAAUAAUGAACGAAUGAUUUAGUUUUUUUUUUUCCAAAUUCUCUUUUAUGUUUAUUACUGUUGGGUUGCCCCUCUGGAAAAAUUCAUAGGUCCGGUUCAGAAAUGCAAAAUACAAUAGUAAUCACAUGGGGGUUUAAUGCAAAUAUGCAGUGAAGGAGGCACUAUGCAGAUUGUCAAUGAAUAAUGGGAAGAUGAAAUUUACGUAUAAAGGUGAACUAUUGGCACCCUUUGCGUAUCUUUUGAAACCCCUUUUCUUUAUCUAUCUCAUUAUAAUUAUUUGAAAAUUAUAAAACUCUCAUGGCAUCGUUUUAGUUUAAAAAAUAACCUUAAUUUCUUGUUGAGUUUACACCCCCUUCUUUCUCUUCACAUCUCUCUCCCCCUCAUUUGCUUACCAUUCUUUCCUCUCUCUUUCUCUUCCACUAUGAGUUCUCUCCGUCGUCAACUCUUUUUAUGGUGAUGAACAAAUUGGACUUUAUGACCAUAACAUUAUAAUUAUUAAUAUAUAUAUAUAUAUAUAUAAUAAUAAUAAUAAUAAUAAUAAAGAUUCAAUGAGAAUGAUGCAAUUGAUUGGUAUUCUUGAUUUUUUUUUUUUUGCUUCUUUAACUAAACUUAAAAGUUUCAUUACUAACCACAACAACAAUAUGAAAGAAAUUAGAAUGUUGCCGAAUUUAUUUUUUGUAAUUGUUUUAUUUUUCUAAAUUAAUUCGGAUGGGGACGAAGGCAAAUGGAAGAGAACAAUAAAAAUCAUUGGCUCUGAAAAUAUUUUUCUGUAGGAUGCCCUGCCUUCUGAAACCUCCUCAACGUUAAAUCUAUAUAUAUAUAUAUAUAUAUAUAUAUAUAGAGUCAGAGUUCAAAUUUUGUGCUUUAACUGCCGUUGCUUUGUGGAAGUCAUUUCUCCGCACCCCCUUCAUUUCUCCUUCGCAUAUCCACCUCCUGCCUUCAAGUGAUUUUUGUGGGACCAAAAUCUAAUUGUUUCAUUUUUUUUUAAAUUAUCCUCGUUCAAAUCAUAAUUAAUUUUUAUUAUUUUAAAUUUUAUUAUUUUUAUUAAAUUUUAUUAAUUUAGUUAUUAUUAAUUAUUGUUAUUAUUAUUUUUAUUAAUAUUAUCAUUAUUAACAAUUAUUGUUAUUAUUAUUGUCAAAAUUUAUUAAUUUUAUUAUUUUAAAUGUCAUUAUUAUUAUUAACUUUAUUAUUUUAGUUAUUAUUAAUUAUUGUUGUUAUUAUUUUAUUAAUAUUAUCAUUAUUAACAAUUAUUAUUAUUAUUAUUAUUGUUAUUGUUAUUAUCAUUAUUAUCAAAAUUUAUUAUUUUAAAUGUCAUUAUUAUUAUUAUUAUUAUUGACUUUAUUAUUUUAGUUAUUAUUAAUUGUUAUUAUUAUCAUUAUUAACAAUUUAUUAUUAUUAUUAUCAUUAUUAUUAUCAAAAUUUAUUAAAUUUAUUAUUUUAAAUGUCAUUAUAUUAUUAUUAUUAUUAUUGACUAUAUUAUUUUAGUUAUUAUUAAUUAUUUUUAUUUUUAUUAUUAUCAUUAUUAACAAUUUAUUAUUAUUAUUAUUAUUAUUAUUAUUAUUAUUAUUAUUAUUAUCAUCAUCAUCAAAAUUUAUUAAAUAUAUUAUUUUAAAUAUCAUUAUUAUUAUUAUUGACUAUAUUAUUUUAGUUAUUAUUUUUAUUUUUAUUAAUAUUAUCAUUAUUAACAUUUAUUAUUAUUAUUAAUUUUAUUUUUUUAAUUAAUAGCAUUUUUAUAAUAAUAUUUAUACAUGUAUCUAGUUGAUGAAAAUUGCAUUAUUUAAUACUAUGGAUAUUUUGGUAAAUUGAUUCUCAUUUCUAUUCCGCAUUCCCAUUUAUUUUGUCAAGUAAACACAUCAAUGACAUUCCAGCACAUUUCUAUUUCUAUUUAUUUUUGGCAAUCAAACAUUUCAUCUCAUUUUCAUUCCUCAUUCUCAUUCUAUGAAAUAAACGAACCAUUAUUUCUUAAUUUUUCAUUUCCGUCAAAUUUCUAAUUCAGUUAGUCACACAAAUAAAAUUACUUACUUGAAAAUCACUCCCAAAUGUACAAUGAACUUAUUUGUAGGAGCUGGCUGAGUUACAUAUUCUGUAACUUACAGAUCCAACUCCUAUUGCCUGCAUUUACACAGUUUUUCUCUCUCCUCAGGACACGUGUGUUGCUUCCCAUUGGGUGUGUACGUUACAGAUUCUGUAACGUAGGUUGGUCCCUUAUUUGUAAUGUUGUCUAUUAUUAUAGUUUAUCACUAUUAUUCCUAUCAAUCUGAGACUCUCCGUAGCACGCAACUCCCAACCGAUUUAUUUAAACGUGCUGCCAAACAACGACUCGCAUAAGAUAAAGGGAAGAACAAUCAAGAAUCAUCACUCCAUUAUCUAAUUUUUCAUGCCGUAGCCAGAACGCUUUACUAAGUAGCGACUUAAGGUCGAUGGAAGAACAAUCAAGCUGAUAUGACUAGUUUGUCAUUAUUGCUUUUCUUGACUACCACAAGAUCUAUAUCGAGGGAGGUGCUACCUUAAAUUUAAGGUACAGCUCUCUCUAAGAACCACUGCUGUAGGGAGAGUUGUACCUUAAGAUAAACUUAAGGUAGGCAAAACCUUUUGUCGGUGUCUCCAACUUUCAAUUUCUUCAACAUUUAGCUUUCCUGGAAGCAAUUAUACACACUCUACUGAUGCGACAAAAGGUGCCAAAAAAAAAAAAAAAAACUGCCCGUUGCGUCACUGCUUAGGUCAUUCUAAACCUUCAGUUCUCUGUCUGUAGUCUAUCACUUGGUGCAAAAUAGUCAAGUUCUCACGUUUUAGACGGCACGUUAAUCGGACACGCGGCUGAUCCUGUCCUUAACAGGCCAUUUUUAUUAGGCCACCUACCUUAUUACAAUGAAUGUAAAGUAUAUCUUCUUACAAAUUGAGUUGUAGGACUCAUUUGGACCCACAGCCAAUAAAGAGGAUGUACCUUACAAUCAUUGUAAGGUAGCAGCUCCCUAUUAUAUUAGUUACUUCAUUUGUGAAUGUAAUGAGAAAGAACUAAGGCGACGCACCCUCGCAGGAGCUGAAACUUUCAGUCUAUCACAGUCUGAAAAGGCCGUUGACCAUGCAAUCUGCGUACGUUGUUUGUUCUCAAAUUUGAUCGUUUGUUUUCAUUUUUCGUUCAUGUCAAGUUUCUGUAUUUGUACACAAUUAAAUGAUCACUCAUUCGCAGGUUUUGCUUUUACCUGACGCUCUUCAAUAGUUUUAUUCACUCUAGUAUUUGCGAUAUAUCUUUCUGCUUGAUGACCCAAGUUGCAUGUGAACGGAUUAGCUAUUCAUUUUACUUUGUUAAUCAGUCAAAUAUCAUAGACCCCAUCUGUUAUUACAGCAGUGAUUGCUAGGAACAGUUGAGAGUCUUUUCAAACUUUUCCAAACAUGUGUCCAAAUAGAUUGAGCUUGUACGUGAGAUAGCUGGAUUUUAUUUGCUUACAAACCUUUUUUGGGAUUAUUUAAAAAUUACAAUUACUGAUCUGGUUUCGGAUACACGAGAGUUUUUUGCUAUUAUCCAAUUUAUUUUGGUUGGAGCACGUUUUAACUGACACAAAGCCGGAAAUACCAGUUCAAUCUCAGUAACCUCUAUAAUUUGUCUCAAAUACAUUGUGUUUAGUUAUUCAUGUUCUUGGAUUUCCAAUUUCAUUUAUGGCUUAACUGAUAUAAGAAAGCUGACAGGGAUAUGAGAAAUUUUUCUCAAGGAUGGAAGAUUCUGGUAGCCAUUUUUCUGUUGGGAUUAAGCUUUCCAUACUCACAAGGUUAUAAUGUCAAAUCUAAAGUCUUUUUGUCACCUAAGUUUGUGCUGGGGCCAGGAUCCGUUGAGAAUAAAUUUUACUAUGGGAUUGACUUUCCGAGAGGUCAUAUUGCUCUAAAGAGUUUUAAUGCAGAAGUAAUUGAUGAGGCAGGAAAUCCCGUUCCUCUUCACGAGACUUAUCUCCACCAUUGGGCCGUUCAAAAAUACUAUGGACGUAAAGAUGCAGAAUUACUAGAGUAUAAUGGCAACAGACUUCUUCGUGAAUCAGAUUACAUUUCAGCGAGAAAUGAUGGCAUAUGCCAGACGAAUAUUCUUGAGCAGGAUUUUGGCCUUGGCUCUGAGACGCGAGGAACGGCAACGCAUAUUCCAGAUCCUUAUGGAUUAGAAAUUGGCAAUCCUGCUACAAUUCCUGCAGGCUAUGAAGAGAGAUGGUUUCUUAAUGUCCAUGCAAUUGAUACACGAGGUGUCGAAGAUAGGUUGGGAUGCACCGAAUGCAAGUGCGAUUUGUACAAUGUUACAUUGGAUGAGUAUGGCCAGCCACUAAAGCCAAAUUACAGAGGUGGUUUAGCGUGUUGUUACGAUGGUACGCAGUGUAGAUUGUCAAACGGUUUUGAAGGUGCCAGGAGGAGCCUCUAUUUGAGAUAUACCGUAAAGUGGGUUGAUUGGGACACUUCCAUUGUGCCUGUUAAAAUCUACAUAUUUGAUGUCACUGACAAGGAAACACGGUUUAGUGAUUCCACUGGAUUCAGCAUACAGCAUCAUUGCCAGGUAAGU